RNAcentral lists this long non-coding RNA (895 nucleotides) under Homo sapiens (human). Its description in RNAcentral is "LNC_000806". Lineage: Eukaryota; Metazoa; Chordata; Mammalia; Primates; Hominidae. The record is from RNAcentral.
UGACCAGUGUCCUUGUACUUGUCUCCUCAUCCCCAUAGUCUAUUCUGCACACAUUAUUUAGAAUGAAUUUAUAAAAAUGUAAGUCUAACGAUGUAAGUCUUUAUGGCAAAUUUUCAACUACCUAUCUCACUCAGUAAAACGUGAAGGUUUCCCUGUGGUUCACAAGUUACUAUAUGAUGAGGCUCCCAUGUACUCCUCCAAACUCACAUCUUCCUAUAGUUCUUUUUAGUGCCUGUUGCACCAUAAUACUGUUCUGCUUUAGCCAAGCAUGAACAAUGCAAUCUACAAAUGAAAUCUGGUUUAGGCCAGGCAGGCCCAGGCCUGGUUUCGGGCCUGGUGCUGGGCUGCCUGUCUUUGGUUUUACUUUCUUGUUGUUUUUUUCUUAAAACAGGUACUGAGUAUAAAACAAUAUAAAACAAUAUGAGAGGGUCUCUCUCUUCCCUCAUUUCCCCCAUUUGAGACUCUCACUUUUUAUUAGGGGAAGUUCUCACUCUUAUUUUUGCUACUUAUGUCUUUUUGUGCAAUAGAUCGAUAGUGAUUUAUAUAGUAUGCUUGUGCUGAAGCAUUUUGGUGAACUAAGGUAGCGACAAAGUUUUUUACCAUUUGGAGAAAUACAGGUGUCAGACAAGGGAGCAGUAAGCAAGUUCCUAUUACUAUUAUUACUCUUAUUGGAAGAGUUUUAAAUCUUCUUAUUGCUGGGAACCAAUUUCCAAACAUGGCUCUUGGAUUGAGUCCGUGCCACACUUGCACGGGUACAUGUGCCAGUUUUGUUAUAUCUUUAACUAUGUCUUUAACUACUUGCCUUUGAUUAUCUAUGUGUAGACAGUAAUUAGUAAGGUUAAAUUUCUUAUAGACCUCUCUUUUAGCUGCUAGCAAGUAGUCGAGAGCCAAUCUA